This 478-nucleotide ribosomal RNA is filed under the name uncultured bacterium. RNAcentral's name for it is "partial 16S ribosomal RNA". It matches the Rfam family "Bacterial small subunit ribosomal RNA", at positions 28 to 523 of the family's 1533-position model. The record is from RNAcentral.
GACGAACGCUGGCGGCGUGCUUAACACAUGCAAGUCGAGCGAUGAAGUUCCUUCGGGAAUGGAUUAGCGGCGGACGGGUGAGUAACACGUGGGUAACCUGCCUCAUAGAGGGGAAUAGCCUUCCGAACGGAAGAUUAAUACCGCAUAAGAUCGUAGUUUCGCAUGAAACAGCAAUUAAAGGAGUAAUCCGCUAUGAGAUGGACCCGCGUCGCAUUAGCUAGUUGGUGAGGUAACGGCUCACCAAGGCGACGAUGCGUAGCCGACCUGAGAGGGUGAUCGGCCACAUUAGGACUGAGACACGGCCCAGACUCCUACGGGAGGCAGCAGUGGGGAAUAUUGCACAAUGGGGGAAACCCUGAUGCAGCAACGCCGCGUGAGUGAUGACGGUCUUCGGAUUGUAAAACUCUGUCUUCAGGGACGAUAAUGACGGUACCUGAGGAGGAAGCCACGGCUAACUACGUGCCAGCCGCCGCCGUAA